This 548-nucleotide long non-coding RNA is filed under the name Equus caballus (horse). Its description in RNAcentral is "lncRNA (ENSECAG00000048687.1)". Lineage: Eukaryota; Metazoa; Chordata; Mammalia; Perissodactyla; Equidae. The record is from RNAcentral.
GACCCUCGCGUCCGGACGCGGUCCCCGGAGGCGGCUGGCCCCGGUGCCGCCCUCGCGUCCCGCCGAGCGCCCGCUGCGGCGGCCCGGGGAGGAUCGCGGGCCCGCCUCGUGGCCAAGAAGCGCGAGUGACCUGCAGGCCCGAGGCGGGAGAACCAUACAAUGGAAUCAGUCAACAGGAGGGCCUUCCACAUUUGAAAGUAUCUAUCAAAGGAAAAUAAGAAGGCCCAAGCAAGUAAUUCAGACUUUCAGCCUCACCACAAUAAAGUACAGUGAUAGAAAUGGAUGGAGGGCAGACUUCAGCUUCCUACACUUUGUGCGACGAUCAUUUCAAUGGUGUAAACCCUGAAGCCAGAUCCUUCGGCUCUUGAAUUGAGAACUUUUUAAAAUAGCAGGCACAGUGGUUGUCUCUUGGUCAUUGCUACAAUCUCAUAAUAGAAGCAGGAAGCUGCUGUUUGUAUUCUGUGGCCACAGUUGCAAACAAUAAAAAGGAGACAGUCUUCUGAAGCUGUUGUCAGGUCUCUCUGGGACUAAGUGCCAGGUGGUUUUAU